Molecule: small nucleolar RNA, 102 nt
Filed under: Cephalotus follicularis
Lineage: Eukaryota; Viridiplantae; Streptophyta; Magnoliopsida; Oxalidales; Cephalotaceae
Description: Plant small nucleolar RNA R71
Rfam family: Plant small nucleolar RNA R71
About the family: R71 is a member of the C/D box family of snoRNAs containing the C (UGAUGA) and D (CUGA) box motifs. Multiple nearly identical copies of this snoRNA have been identified in Arabidopsis, and it is thought to function as a 2'-O-ribose methylation guide for 18S ribosomal RNA.
Source: Rfam by way of RNAcentral
ACGGCAUGAUGGGGACAUUUCCUCAUGAGGUCCUUUAAUCUUUCCCAUGCUUCAUGGAACUGCUCACUAUCUUGCUGAAAGAAGCUAGUGAGAGCUCAUCUU